This 207-nucleotide ribosomal RNA is filed under the name uncultured bacterium. Its description in RNAcentral is "partial 16S ribosomal RNA". It matches the Rfam family "Bacterial small subunit ribosomal RNA", at positions 568 to 774 of the family's 1533-position model. The record is from RNAcentral.
CUCGUAGGCGGCCAACUAAGUCAGACGUGAAAUCCCUCGGCUCAACCGGGGAAUUGCGUCUGAAACUGGAUGGCUUGAGUUUGGGAGAGGGAUGCGGAAUUCCAGGUGUAGCGGUGAAAUGCGUAGAUAUCUGGAGGAACACCGGUGGCGAAGGCGGCAUCCUGGACCAACACUGACGCUGAGGAGCGAAAGCCAGGGGAGCAAACG